CCUACGGGUGGCAGCAGUAGGGAAUAUUGCUCAAUGGGGGAAACCCUGAAGCAGCAACGCCGCGUGGAGGAUGACGGUCUUCGGAUUGGUAACUCCUUUUUGUAGAGAAGAUAAUGACGGUAUGUAACGAAUAAUCACGGGCUAACUCCGUGCCAGCAGCCGCUGUAUUACGGAGGGCGCAAGCGUUACUCGGAAUCACUGGGCGUAAAGAGCGCGUAGGUGGGAUAGCAAGUCAGAUGUGAAAUCCUAUGGCUUAACCAUAGAACUGCAGUUGAAACUGUUAGUCUAGAGUAUGGGAGAGGUAGGUGGAAUUCGUGGUGUAGGGGUGAAAUGCGUAGAGAUCAAGAAGAAUACUGAUUGCGAAGGCGACCUGCUAGAACAUAACUGACGCUGAUGCGCGAAAGCGUGGGUAGCGAACAGGAUUAGAUACCCUAGUAGUC
This 440-nucleotide ribosomal RNA is filed under the name uncultured bacterium. RNAcentral's name for it is "partial 16S ribosomal RNA". It matches the Rfam family "Bacterial small subunit ribosomal RNA", at positions 338 to 795 of the family's 1533-position model. The record is from RNAcentral.